Molecule: ribosomal RNA, 343 nt
Filed under: uncultured Helicobacter sp.
Lineage: Bacteria; Pseudomonadati; Campylobacterota; Epsilonproteobacteria; Campylobacterales; Helicobacteraceae
Description: bacterial SSU rRNA
Rfam family: Bacterial small subunit ribosomal RNA
Source: RNAcentral
GGUAUCGGCCUGAGAGGGUGAACGGACACACUGGAACUGAGACACGGUCCAGACUCCUACGGGAGGCAGCAGUAGGGAAUAUUGCUCAAUGGGGGAAACCCUGAAGCAGCAACGCCGCGUGGAGGAUGAAGGUUUUAGGAUUGUAACUCCUUUUGUUAGAGAAGAUUAUGACGGUAUCUAACGAAUAAGCACCGGCUAAGCUCCGUCCCAGCAGCCGCGGUAAUACGGAGGGUGCAAGCGUUACUCGGAAUCACUGGGCGUAAAGAGUGCGCAGGCGGGAUAGCAAGUCAGAUGUGAAAUGCUAUGGCUUACACCAUAGAACUGCAUUGAAACUGUUAUUCUA